ACGGAAGGCAGCAGUGGGGAUAUUGCACAAUGGGCGAAAGCCUGAUGCAGCGACGCCGCGUGAGGGAAGACGGUCCUCUGGAUUGUAAACCUCUGUCUUAUGGGACGAAGAUGACGGUACCAUAGGAGGAAGCUCCGGCUAACUACGUGCCAGCAGCCGCGGUAAUACGUAGGGAGCGAGCGUUGUCCGGAAUUACUGGGUGUAAAGGGAGCGUAGGCGGGACUUUAAGUCCGUUGUGAAAUCUAUCGGCUCAACCGGUAGCUGCGGCGGAAACUGGAGUUCUUGAGUGAAGUAGAGGCAAGCGGAAUUCCUAGUGUAGCGGUGAAAUGCGUAGAUAUUAGGAGGAACACCAGUGGCGAAGGCGGCUUGCUGGGCUUUUACUGACGCUGAGGCUCGAAAGUGUGGGGAGCAAACAGGAUUAGAUACCCUGGUA
RNAcentral lists this ribosomal RNA (433 nucleotides) under uncultured Anaerotruncus sp. Its description in RNAcentral is "partial 16S ribosomal RNA". It matches the Rfam family "Bacterial small subunit ribosomal RNA", at positions 341 to 792 of the family's 1533-position model. Lineage: Bacteria; Bacillati; Bacillota; Clostridia; Eubacteriales; Oscillospiraceae. The record is from RNAcentral.